UUUGCCCCUUUUUCCCCCUCUUCUCCUCCCUCCUUUUCUCCUCCUCAUCUCCUUUUCUUUUUCCUCCCUUUCUCAUUCUUCUUUUCCCCUUUCCCCUCUUGUCUUCCUUUCCCUUUUUCCCCCUUUACUCUCCUCUUCUUCACCCCCUUCUUCUUUUUGCCCCCAUCCCCACUUCCCCUUUCACCCCCUUUACCCCUUUUCCUCCCCAUCUCCCUUUUUGCCCCGUCCCCCUUUUUUGUUUUGCUUUUCCUCUUUGUCUCCCCCUUCCUUUUCCCCCCCUCGACCCCAUUCCUUGUUCCUUCCCCAUCGUCCCCUUUUCUUCCGAAGCCGAUUCCGUUCUCAGUGCGAUGGUGGCUCCUGCGAGCAGCAGAGCCCCGAGCAGCAGCGCUGCGUCUUGGCUCCCCCAUUGCCCGCUGCUGAGCUCUUCCUGCCCUGGCUCCUCAUUGGCUGAGCGCUGCAGCUUCCCCUUUGUGGCGACGCUUCACCACUCGCACAAACAGCCAGCAGACGCACAUCUUUGCUGCCCAAACACACGCAGGCCUUCAUUGCUUCAUUGCUUUCUCACCACUGCUCUCUUAACCAACGUGCGGUCGGAACUUGCGGCUCUCAGGUUUUCAGCAUCAACACAGACACAGCCUCUGAAUUGCUUCAUUCCCCCCUGCCAUUUGUGCCCUUCCCGCUGCUCGUCGUUCUGCUCAUCCGGUUGUUUUUCCGCAGCGCUGAGCUUGGCAGGAGGACAGAGGGGAGCAGCUGGGAGCCUCACGGCCUCCUCGCGUUCCCACGCAGCGGGACAGCGCUGCUGUAUGCGCUGGCCCUGAUUCCUCCCUCAUUCCCUUCUCCAUUUUUCCUCCCUCGUCGCGAUUUCCUUUUUUUUCCUCCCUCGUCCCCCUGUUCCUUUUGUCCUUCUCGUGCACUUCCUACCAUCCCGCCUUCUUCCUGCCUUCCCUCAUCUCUUCUUGCACUCUUUGAGCCCUUUUUCUCCCCCCAUCCUUAUUUCUCUUCACAUUCCCCUGUUCUUUUUUCCCCUUUCCUCUUCUUCAUCUCCAGCUCCGCUUCCCCCCCACCUCACGUCCCCUUUCUUCUGUCCCUGUACCCCAUUUUUCCUUUUUUUCUUUCCCCACACCCUUUUUCUCUUGUUUUUCUCUGCUGUCCCCUAUUGCCUUUUUCCUCUUGCCCCUCUCUCCUUUCUUCCCCCUCAUGCUGUUACAGAAGAGAGGGAAGGAAUGAUGGACAAGCUGGUGCACGAUGGCAGCAGCAGGGUGGAAGCCCAGGUGGGUGCGAUGAAGCCGGGGGUGGGACUGGGUGGAGCCAGAGCCCAGCCUGAGCUCAUGGAAGGGCUGGGAAUGGCAGGGCUCAGAUGUGUGCCUGGGCUUCUGGUGUCAGUGAAAUUGGGUGAGCAGUGAGGUUUGGGAGGGAUCGACUUGUUGGCCUUGAGAUUGAUGCCCAGCUCCUUGCUCGUCACAUUCUGUUCGGCUCGAGGUUCCGGACACGGCUUGCUCUUCUAAGCAGUGUGAGGACUGCGAGAAAGACUUAGUUGGAUGCAGCAGGAAAGCACAGCUGCUGGUGGAUGCCAGUGUCCGCUCCUGAGGCUCUGCACCAAGCUCUGCCCAGUGCUGAUGGGAUGUCAGUGCCACCUGCUGCUCUCCAUGAACUGCAGGUUCAAUUCCUUUUGGCUUCCACAGCAUUUGCUACUCUUUUGUUCUGUCUCACUUCUCUUUUUUCCAUGUUGCGUGCUGGCGCCUCGCUGGAGUUCCCAGGAUGCCACUGCACACUUUGGACCAAGUGAGAUGCAGAAGAAGAGGUAGGCUCCUGAACAGGCUGCUGCUGAGUGCUGUCCUUGACCUGGGGAUUGGUGACUCGUGCAGCAGAUGCAGCAGGCAUCUUGGGCUGCCCAAGCUUCCGCAGUGAGCGUGUCCUGUUCCUGGUAAAGGUGUGGGCGUUCCUGGAUGUGAAGAUAUCUUCAUGCGUUUCCGAUGUGCCCAGU
Long non-coding RNA from Tympanuchus pallidicinctus (lesser prairie-chicken), 1984 nucleotides. RefSeq lists it as uncharacterized. Lineage: Eukaryota; Metazoa; Chordata; Aves; Galliformes; Phasianidae. The record is from RefSeq and is a predicted model, not a curated record. The transcript has 3 exons.